This 400-nucleotide long non-coding RNA is filed under the name Gorilla gorilla gorilla (western lowland gorilla). RNAcentral describes it as "lncRNA (ENSGGOG00000044537.1)". The record is from RNAcentral. Lineage: Eukaryota; Metazoa; Chordata; Mammalia; Primates; Hominidae.
CCCCGCCUUUUCUCCCCGCCCCCCGCACUCCCCACCUUUCCUCCCCUUUGGCUGAGGCUUUUUCCCCCCGUCGCUGGCUCUGCCCGAAGUUUCUAGAGUUUUCUGACCUUCAAGGCGAGAACUGCUGUGUCAUUCUUAGGGACACUCCCCAACAAACUGCGCCACCCGAGUCUCUCCCUCCUCUCGCCAGCCGGCCCUAAAACAUCAAGACGGAAAAAACAUCCGGGAGAGCCGGGCCGUUUCUCAGGCAGACCAGGCCAUUAGGUGCCUCGGAGAAAGGACCCAAGGCUGCUCCGUCCUUCACAGACACAGUCCAAUCAGAGUUUCCCAGGCACAUCGAUGCACCGCCUCCUUCGAGAAACAAGGAGUUGUAAGACGUUCAUCGCCAUGUUAUCCUUGA